RNAcentral lists this long non-coding RNA (1323 nucleotides) under Homo sapiens (human). RNAcentral's name for it is "HSALNT0116045". The record is from RNAcentral. Lineage: Eukaryota; Metazoa; Chordata; Mammalia; Primates; Hominidae.
GGAACUGGUAUAAUAUUUAUAAUGGAAAAUACAGCAGUCAGAGAUGGCAAAGGAAUCUGCGUGCUUGGCUUGGUUGCUGGAGGUCUGGUGCUGUUGCUUCCAGAAACUAAAGGGAAAGCUUUGCCUGAGACCAUCGAGGAAGCCGAAAAUAUGCAAAGACCAAGAAAAAAUAAAGAAAAGAUGAUUUACCUCCAAGUUCAGAAACUAGACAUUCCAUUGAACUAAGAAGAGAGACCGUUGCUGCUGUCAUGACCUAGCUUUGAUGGCAGCAAGACCAAAAGUAGAAAUCCCUGCACUCAUCACAAAGCCCAUACAACUCAACCAAACUUACCCCUGAGCCCUAUCAACCUAGGUCUACAGCCAGUGGAGUCUAUUGUACACUGUGGAAAAAUACCCAUGGGACCAGAUCCUGCCAAAUUCUUCCAGCUCACUUUAUUCUCAGCAUUCCUAGGACAUUGGACAUUGGUUUUCUGGAGGGUUUUUUUUCCAUCUUUGUAUUUUUUUAAAUUUGAUUCUUUUCUUUGCAAUGCUAUCUAACCAGAAUACAUAGGGGAACUGUGGGCUAGGCAAACAAAAUAGAAAAAAGUGUGAAAAACAGUAAAGUUGGGAGAGGAGCAUCUAUUUUCUUAAAGAAAUAAAACACCCAAAACAAUAUAAAGUUGUCCAGAAUGUAUGUCAAGAAUUUUAGAUAGGCCUUUCAGUAACACAGGUGAAGAAAUUUUUAAAAAUACAUUGAUUAUUAUCUAGGUUAGACUUAAAGUGAAUCUCAAAUAAAAGAAUCAGGAAUACAACUUAAGUGAUCAUGAGGUCCUUCCAUAUUUAGAUUGGGUAAGCAUGAAUGUGUAUUUUCUACAAAAGACCUUGAGAAGAGUUCAAUAAAAAAUGUUAGCAUUAUAAAACCAUUGAUGAUCAUUUUUUAGUCUGGUAAAAAUGUCUUAACAUUUGUGGAUUUUAAAAUACAUGUUAAUAUUUUAUAAAAGUAAUAUUAUGAAUACAUUUUUAAAAGCUAAAUAUCAUAAGACUUAUAAUGAAAACAAAAUUUCCUUGCCCUAUUUCACCUCUACUAAUUUCUCAGAGAAAAUUUUCAACUAUUUUAGGUGAAUUUUCCCCCUGAGAUUCAUCUCCAUAUAUAUAAAUAACUUCUUUAUAUUGACAUUUCUUGAUUUUUCAGCUUAAAUAUUAUCUAUUUACUUUUUAAUAUAACAGAUAAAAAUGUAACUCUCUUCAUCUCUCCCUUCAUCCCAACACACAGCUUUUCUGUUCCCUUUAAACUUUGUCACAUUUUUAUUAAAUCAAAUACUGAACUUUCAUGUCAUUAUGGCU